AAGUCGGUAAUUCUUAAACUCAUCUAUGGUGGGGUAGAGGGGAGCAUUACAAGGAAAAAGGCGUUUUGAUUCUUUCAAAAAUAACAUCCAAAGAAGUCCUCUUAAAGUCUCGAUACCAAGAUUGAUGUUAUUACAAACAACAAGAGACCAUAAAUAAUCUUCUGUUUCACAGUUUUGUGGACUUACCGUGUUACUAGAAGCUUUGCUCCACCCUGGUGGUUUCUUACCCUAAGUCGGGAACAUUUUGUGCUGUGUUUCCCUUACCGGCAGCGUCGUGCGGGCACCAGUCCCCACACGUGUGCAUAUAGACGCCUGCUUUUAACUCACACACUGCCAACGCUCCUAGUACGUGUGCUUUAUCCUGAUUUUCACGUUAAGACCCCUAUCUUUUGCUCCUGGAAUUAAUUUUAUCAAUGACACAGAAAAUGGUUGUGUUAAUACUUGCCUGCGCUGUGGCCUCGGAGCUGGGAUGUGCCCCAGGAUUCUGAUAACGGCUUGAGCCAGCUUGAAUUAGCUUGGUGUAUCAUUAAUGCAUACAAAUGGCUUUUAUUUUUGUUCAUAAUCUGUUCACGAUGCCACGGGAUUCUGCUCUUCCUAAUGUUUUUAAAAUGACGAAACGGUGAUGUACUUUUUGACCUAUUUAACCCUCUGCCGCCUCUGAUCAAAAGAAUACAAAAAUAUUACUUAAAAAGCAUAGUCGGAAAUUGUUCUGCUUCGUAGCUGGUGUUUCCAACUUAUUUUGAAGUCUUCUGUUAAUUUUUUUUCUUCUUUCUUUCUUUCUAUGUUUUUACUUCACAUCGAAGCUAGUUAGCGUGUAGUGCAAUAAAGAUUUCAGGAGUAGUAGAUACCAGUGACUCAUCCCCUUGUAUGACACCCAGUGCUCAUCCCAACAAGUGUCUUCCUUGAUGCCCCGCCCCCAUUUGGCCCACCCCCCCACCCCCAACCCCUCCAGCAACCCUCAGUUUGUUCUCUGUAUUUGAGUCUCUUAGGUUUUGUCCCCCUCCCUCUUUUUAUAUUAUUUUUGCUCCCCUUCCCUUAUGUUCUUCUUCUGUUUUGUCUCUUAAAAUCCACAUGUGAGUGAAGUCAUAUGAUAUUUGUUUUUCUCUGACUGUGGAGUCUGGUUUAUUUUACAACAUUAUUUCCCCCUAGAGAAUACGGACAUAGCCAGAUUCUGAGUAGCCUCCAUUCACUGAGGAAUUGUCCGCUAAUGACUGGAUUAGCAGCCCCAAUAUGUUGUGUUCAUGAGAGAGAAGGAAGAGGAAUCCUCCAGGGAGGAAAGUUGUGAAAGUCUUUGACACUGGAAGGCGUAGCUUUACUCCAUGGGCGCUGAUACCUGUGCAUACUCCUGAGCUGGGCGGGGGAGGGUGCUGGUCAGUGUCACCUCCAAGAGUGCCCGGGGGUCCAACUCGGAGCAGGUGCCGGGCCUCCCCCGAGGCAGGCCUGGGGUCUGCGGUUGGCCCGUGUGGUUCACGCAGCGUCACUGCAGACUUUGUGAAGAGAAGAGGGCACACCGGCAGGUGUAUGGAAUCUCCCGGGCUUCAGGGAGAAGUCCGCCGUGCGGAGCGGGUUGAAGCCGUGUUUGUGUGAAGAAAAAUAGGCUAAAAGCUUUGAUGACUAAGUUGGAUUUGUGCGAUUUGCUAAAGACGAGGUUUUUAAAGAAUAUGCGAUACGGAAGUAAAGACCGCCCCCAACGCCACCGCCCGGGGGCUGUCGUUGUUACGGGGUGGGGUGUGUGGCCGCGUGCAUGCCCGAGUGUUCUGAGAAAGUGGGUUAUCGGGCCUCGCGACGUUGGAGAACCUGCUUGAUUACAUCCGUACUUUUUCUACAGUAGUUUUCUCAUUAUUCCAUUGCAUUCCAUUAAGUGAAUACAACUACUUUUUUGGUCCAAUCGCCUGGUAGGUAUUUGGUUGUCCCCCCUCCCCAUUUAUGUAUUUGAUUCAGGUUUAGGGCCUCGGUGGAGGGCUCUCUGUUUAAGUCUUUGUCUCCAUCCUUAAUCCUUUCUUUAAGAGACCGCUCUGGAGGGGAGACUGCCGGCUCAGUGGCCCGCGUGGCCUUAUGGCUUUCGGUCCUCACUGUCCCCAAAUCGUCCAGGGAGUCGUCCCCGCUCAGGCCUCCUUUUUCUGUACCCUGGCCACACUGGGUAUUUUCUGUUUAGAAACGUUCAUCAUUUAUAGAUAGAAAAGAAUCAUAGUGGUAUUUUUUUUUUUUUUUUUUAUUCUUCAAAAUACUGUUUUUACUAGGUUUGUCUCUCAGUGUAAAAAGCAGCUCCUUUUUGGCAGGCAGGAGUUUGGUCAAGAGAUGGGGCUCGGAGGUCUGGCGUGGCAGGUGACACGUGGGAGCAGAUGGGCCUCGCUGCUCUUGAAGACGUGGCCUCGGUGCUUCCGGGGGGUUCUCUGCGGCUGGAGCGGCGCAGAGACCUCCCCCGAUUCCGUGUGUGGCCGCGAUGUCGGAGCUGGGGUUCCCUCCCCCGUCCGGCCCUUCUGGCCCCGCAGUGUUACCUGUGCGCUGCCGCGUGUCCCCUCCGAGACAGACGCCCGCAGCGGGGUGCCUUCUGAGGGAAGUGGAGAAAACCCUUCCCGGAGCUUCGUGUCGUGUCAGUGCCCCGGGGGGUUUGAGGGGCCCCGGAAACCCAGCCUCGUUUCCACCCAGGACAGUUCCCGAGAAGGGCCACGCCCGCCCCGGUCCCGGGACAGGUCCGCCGUGCCUGCAGCCGGAGCGCGGGUGCACUGCCCCCGGGGGUCGUCCUUCUGCAGUGGCGGCCGGGGACCCCCUCUGGACCAGUUCCCCGAACCCUUGAAGCACAUGUCCCCGCUGGCGAACCUGAAGAUCUUACCUCAUCGUUUUACGUUAGAUGUGUCAAAAUCUGGGAAGAAGACCAUUUCAUCCUUGCACUUUCUGCAAACGAAAGCAGAAACGUGCAUCCUUUUUCCUCCGUCACAUCCUGAGUCGGCUCGCCGGCACCGGCGUCAGUAACUCGAGCACGUGGUGGUGGCCUUACCUUUCAAGGCUGCCGUUCAGAUGCCACCCACUUUCAGCCACCAUCGUACGCUGGUCCCUGCCUUGGGCCCGCGAGCAAACAGCAGCCCCAUCUGACAGAAAAGGGAGCCGUCUGGGGGAUCGUCUGGCCAGCUGUCGCAUGGUCAGGCCUGGCGCCGUGAGGAGAGCUGGGCGAUGGCACCUUGAGCUUCUCUGUCCCAGUCCCCGCACCGUCAGGUGGCGCCCCCCUGAGGCGCUCUGCAGUUCUUUCCCUCGUACACGUGCCUGCCUGCAGGGGGCGCUGUGUUCCGUCUUCCCACAGCUGUCCUCCUGCAGUCCAAGGGUUUUUUUGGUCUGAGUUUUGGAAUUUCAGGAAGCUCCCUCACAUUUUACUUCGUGUGUAAGCCGUAAGAAAAAAAUACUCAACACUGACACGGUCAUCUGGAUGCUAGAAAUACUCCUGUACCUGGGCCAAAAUUUUGUUAUCAAAUGCAGCACCAAGGCGCCUUUUGCAUUUAAAUUCAUCUCUUGCCUGAACUGCACACUGGUAGGGUAUCAUGUCUGGAAGGACGUGAGAGCCUGGCUAGCCUGGCCCUUCACUUUGCAGAUGAGCAGGCAGGGCCCGCGAGGCCAUCCUGCCAGAGAGCACCGUCAGAAACUAGAGACUAGGUGUGUCUGUCUCAGCCACGUGGUCUUACCUUUGUUCUGGAAAUGUUAAAGGCCACAGAUUACAUUUUUUUAAGGUUUAUUUAUUUUGAGAGAGAGUGAGUGAGUGGGGAGAGGCAGGAAGAGAGAGAGAGAGAGAGAGAGAGAGAGAGAGAGAGAGAGAAUCCCAAACCAACUCUGCCCUGUCAGAGGAGAGCCUGACAUGGGGCUCAAUCCCACGAACCAUGAGAUCAUGACCCGAACUUAAACCAAGAGUCAGACACUUAAACGACUGAGCCACCCAGGUGCCCCCGCAGAUUACAUUUUAAAACCUGGAAGUGAAUGAAGACGCUCCUUUAGUUAUUUUAAAUAAAAUUGAGCCACAUCCCCACUGGGGAAUUUGGGGUUACAUGUGCCACUGUAAUCAACAUAUGAAUUAUUUGCGAUAAGCUGUGUGAUAAAAGUUCAUCUGCACAUACUGUCUUCACGUAAUAGAAUAUGUGGGUAAUAGAACGUUGGAUCUAUAAAGAGGUCUCUGAGACUCAAUGAAAAUAUGGCAGAAAGGAAAUGUUUGCUUUCAAGUACUUGAUUUUGUAAUUUAGUGACAUGCCACCAGGGGGCAUCAAAAGAGCUCGUAAGGAUGGUUCUCGCUGGCAUAUUUUUCCCCUUUGCUGUCACUGUGGAGAAUACAGACAUAAUAAAACUAACACAGUGGUUUAAGAGAUCAUUUAGGCCUGUAAUAAGAUACAGUCCAUAAAGCGUGUGAAGUUACUGGAUCAGCAGUACAGGAAUACAGAAGUAAAGUUUCAUUCAUUGGGAUGGGGAGGAGGACAAAAUAAAGAUGAAAUGAUAUAUUCUGUGGUUAAAGGGACCCAAAUCCCUUCUUGGUUUUUUGUUUUUGGAUUUUUUUUUUUUUGCCUUGUAUGUAACUUAAGACUUCGAAGAAAAUUUGUCAAAAGAUGUGUACUUUUUUUUACUAGAGUAUAAUAAACAUUUAUUAUUUAGUCUGUCAUAUUAUUUUUUAAAUGUUUUUAUUUAUUUAUUUUUGAGACAGAGACAGAGCAUGAGCAGGGGAGGGACAGAGAGAGAGGGAGACACAGAAUCCGAAGCAGGCUCCAGGCUCCGAGCUGUCAGCACAGAGCCCGACGCGGGGCUUGAACUCACGAGCUGCGAGAUCAUGACCUGAGCCAAAGUCGGUCGCCUAGCCGACUGAGCCACCCAGGCGCCCCUGGUCUGUCAUACUCUUAAUGGAACUCCCCAAGAGUUCUUUUGGCCUGAUGGCAGCCCGGAUGUCCCACUCUAGGGUCUGCGUCCUUUGUCCAACACCAGGUCUGAGCAGGUGGCCAUGCAGGUCUGGGGUGAGGCCACUGCCCUCGGUCUCUCCGCUCGGCUCUUGCCUCCCCCCUGCGUGGGACGCCGUGGGUUCUCCAUGGGCCGGUAUUCCUGGACAGGGGGAAGGGAGUCAAUCGGUUUUGGGAAAUGUAGAUACUCGUGUGGAAGUGAGGCGAGGUGUGGUGAGGAGUGGCUAUGAUCCCUGAAGGAGUUGAGGGCCCUUCAGAGAGCUCCCACUUGCUGCUUCUCCGUGCGCCCUGCAGUGGGCUGGGCACGUAGAAGAGCCUCACUUUUGGGGUUCAGGGUUUUCUUCUUUCCUUCCUCUACUUUCCCAAGGUCGAGGGCUUCUCACUGCUGUUUUCCUCUCGUUUACUUUUUUUGGCUUUUACCCUUUAUUUUCUCCCACUACAUAAAUUCCAUUAGAAAUUGUAGCAGCUCAGCUCAUGACUUUUUUUUCAAAGAUUUUUAAAAAACAUUUAAGAGGGGGAGGGCAGAGAGAGAGGGAGAGAGAGAACCCCAAGCAGGUGCCGUGCUGUCAGCACAGAGCCCCAUGUGGGGUUCGAUCUCAUGAACCAAGAGAUCACGACCUGAGCCAAAAUCGGGAGUCGGACACUUAACUGCCUGAGCCACCCAGGUGCCCCUUUAGAUUUUAUUUACGUAAUCGCUGUGCCCCACGUGGGGCUCCAACUCACAACUCGUAGAUCAAGAGUCCCGCACUACCAUCUGAGCCUCAGCUCAUGACAUUUUCAAUUUCUUUACGUGGUCAGUGGGACUUCCUCCCCUUUUUGCUACGUCAGAUGAGAAACCUGUCAAAUCACAGGCUAUUCUAUACAGAUGGCGUCUUUUAUCAGAUUACUUACGAACUGAGUGUUUAGAAUUUAUAAGGAAGUAAAUAUAACUCCCAGAGCUCUACAGGCCAGUCCCCGGCGUGGGGUAAACACAGCCGGACACUGAGCAACAGGAGAAGUAAGAUAGCACAGGGAAAUUUCUGCUGUGGGACAGCAGGUUUCACAGUCUAGUCUUUCAGCGCCGUGGAAGGGUGUUGUACCAGCCCCUGAAAGACGAGAAUUUGGGGGAAGGGGCUGUGUAGGCGGAGCCCUGGCCCAGGCUCUAGAUGCUUCUUCCGCUGCAUUUAGUAAAGUCUGCAUUCAUCCAUUUGCAAGGCACUGAGGCGGGUGCCCGGGACCCGCAGGAAAUGAGCACGGCUCUGAAGCCAGACGCUUGUUGGGGUGGGAUCGUUCUUCACCAGAGCUGCGUGAUGGAGUUUUUUAGGGAGCAAGGAAAUCCUGCUGCAGAAGUACAUUGAGCUCCUAAACAAUCCCUGAUGAUAGACCUCCGCACGUAGCCCAGCCAGUGCGGCCACUGAGAAGAGCCGUGAGUGCAAAUCCCCGUCACAUCCUAAACGGACAACCCCGGAUCUUUUCCCGGGGGCUCCCCUUCCUCGGGUUCUUUGUCCUGCGUGCGUGCCGUCAGCCUGUGCCUGAGGGCUGGCGUUAGGGGCCUGGUGGCGGGCAUGACGCCUGCUUUUGUUUGCUACUCUCUGUCCUCGACAGGCUCUGCCCCCCAAAGAUUCUUAAAGAAAUGCAAACAGGUAGUCCGUCCAGCUCACACUGUUGUGCAGUCUGAAGACGAUCGGGAAGCCCUUGGAGACGUGAAGUGAUGUGCAGAGGGAAUCUUCUGGGUAACCCGCAGCUAACUUAAUUGCUAUGAAAUACGAUGGCUCACGUAAGGAGGGACCGUUGGAAAAAGGCCAUCAAAUGCAUAAGGACCGCGAGGACCGCUCCAUGUGCCACUGCCGUGUGUUCCUGCUCAGCAUUCCUCCCUCAACUUGUGUGUUACCAGCAUGGAUUUUCCAAUCCAGAGACAGAAGGCUGGUCUUGAGACCCACCUUCCAAGACCUGUUCCGUAAAGAAUUCUUGGGUGCCUGCCGGCUGGCAGAAAUGCCCACUUGCGGCUGAGAACGUCUUCGACUCUUACCUUUUAGAUCCCGGGUGCGGUCAGCUGUGACGUCCUGCCCGGAGCACCGGGUGCAGAGGGACGCGCUCCCGCAUAGGCGUCUGUAUCUCCCCGCUGUGUGUGCACGGGGCCCCCUCUCCCGCGUCCUGGGUCAUUGCCCUGCGGCCACAAACCGGCCUCCAGAUAGUCGUUGCCACCAGAAGUCACUGGCCCGAAAACCUGGGAGUCUCUCUCUUUGCACCGUAUAUUUCUUAUGGGAAAUAAAGGAACUGGUAUCGUUAAAUAUACAUGAGACAAAAAUUACAAAGGACCGGAUAGGCCCUUUUUGUCCCCCUCCACUUUCUGGCAAAUCAACAGAACUAGGACAGAUUCUGCAAAGAUCCAUUUCUAAAUCUCAUGUAUCCAUGUAGCCAAAUAUAAACUCAAAAGAUUCAAAUAAAACAGAGGCUCAAAUUGAAGGGCAAGUCUUAGAACACUCAGCAUCGUUUCGUAAUUUUGUUAAAACUGCUCAGAGGGGCUCCUGGGUGGCUCGGUCAGUUAAGCGUUUUGGCUCAGGUCAUGAUCUCAGCAGUUCGUGGGUUCAAGCCCCACAUUGGGCUCUGCGCUCUCAGCUUGGGAUCUCUCUCUCUUUCUCUGCCCCUCCCCGGCUUGCUCGCGUGCUUGCUCUCAAAAGAAAAAAACAAAAAAUACAUAUAGACUAAAAAAACAAACAAAAAAACUACUUAGGAAAGCUGGUAGAUUUGAGUAAAAAACAAAACAAAACAGAAUGGCUUUGGUGGGUCAUUGGUCCACGUGAGGGUACUAAGUGUCGAAGUCACAGACUCCAGGGCCCAAGGGUAUCUGAGCCACGGCCUGAGACGUGUGGUGGUGAGCCCCUGCUGGUCCCCCCCCAGACAGCCACAGCCUCACCCCUGCAGCCCGUGAACAGUGCCUUAUGGCAGAAUCAAGGCAUUUGCAGAUGUGGUUAAAGAUCUUCAGACGAGGGGCCGGGCCCUGAGCCACAACCACGUGGCUGGUAAGAGGGAGCAGAGUCGUGGCCGCACACGGGGAGAGGACAACACCCGGGUAGAGACGUGAAGGUUGGGGCGACGCGGCCACACGCCAGGGCUCGCCGGCGACCCCCAGAACCUGGGUGAGGCAGGCGGCGGAUUGUCCCCUGGAGCUUCCGGGGCCAGCACGGCCCUGCCGGCACCUGGCUCAGCCAGUGAUACAGAUUGGGACUCAGCCCCCAGAACCGGGCCAGGCCAUUUCUGCUGUGUUGUGCCCCGGUCUGUGGGACCUUGUUAGGGAGGCCCCGGGAAGCUGCUGCAGAUGGGGUACCAUCAUCUAGUUCCCACCCCUCGUGAGAGCGGAGAGCUCUGUGAUUCCUGCUCCCCACUCCUCCCCUCUCCCCCCACAUCUCACCCUCCUCGUCAGCGACCCUUCUUCCUGGAUCCGGGAGCCACAGUCAGUCCUCAUCCUGCCCUCCCCUGGCGGCCUUGACCCACACGCACCCUUUCGUCCUGUCACACCGGCUCCCCAUCCCUGUUCUUGUGUUGUAACUCCCAGGGCAGCCGCGCUCUCUCCUCUGUGGGUUUUUGUUUUUUUUUUUUUUCUUCUGCACAGCCUUUCAGUGAUGAACCUCACAGAGACCUGGUCCCAGGCCACCACGUGUCUGUCCACACUGGUCACCGAAUCCAGAUCCGUUUCCGUGACAUGUUAUGGGCAAGAAACUAUGGCAGGUGCUUCUGCCGUGCAGCAGCGAGAAACUGGGGGGUCAGGCUGACCGCCCCCAGCAGGGAUUUGCUGGGUGCCGUGUGUGGAUGUGAGCCUGCUCGUACGAGACGCUGGAGCCCUGUCCGGUGCCCAGAGGUGCUGAGGUGCGUAACCUCAGGUCCGCACGGCCCCGACCAGCUGGAGCGGAGACUGGCCGUACCCUGCCCGUCGGCCUCACCAGCGCCCAGCAGCUGGGUCUCUGCCCCAACUAGUCUUUCCAGAACAGAGAAAAACAUGUCGACAGGAAUGCUGCUGCUGUGGGAGGCUGUGGGGACCGUUAGGAAAACACCUGAGUGGGAGUCUGAACACUUUCUCCUUUUUGCUUUGUUGUGUUUUUUGUUUUGCCGUUCCGGCCUUUUCUGUUCCGAAACGAGCACCAGAGAAAAUGAAACCUGUAUCCGAGGUUUCAAAGACAAACCACAAAGCUCGGAUGGAAGUAUUCAGCCGUUGUGUUUGGAACUCGGUCGAAGUAAAUGAAGAUGCUGAAACCCAGAUGUUUCCGGUAACUUUGCCAAUAACCAGAGAGGCCGAGCCGGUGCUGAUGACGUGACACGCUGAGAAACUUCAGCUUCUGUUGACAAACUUCCUGUUUAAUUCCGUAAAGACAGCUGCUACGGAAUAUCCGCUCGCCCACAGGCGUGUGAAUUCAGAUUAUUGAGUCACAAUCUCGUUUUCUUGCCGAGUCAGUCACCAAGGAAGCGUCACUCCCGGAUGCCCACGGAUAAACGCAGGGCAGCAGGCCGAGCUGGGCUCCGUCUUUAUCUUCUCGGUCUGCACGAUGAUUCAGCUGCUCCCCUCAGUUUACCCAGCUGUGAAAUGGGUAGGUCUUCCGUUUAUUACUUCUUGGGAUGCCUGUAACAACCGAAACACAGCUGUCACGUGCUUGGAGGGCUCGGAAGGAAAACACCCGCCUAUUAUGAAGUAACGGAAAGCCUGGAAAGGUGGCGUGAUUCUGAGCAAAAGCACACGUUCACCGUAGGAUCCAUCCACUCUACGUAGACUCCUUCCCGAGGGAGGCCAGUCUGGCUCGGCCCUAAGGGAGAGUGCCCUUCUGGGCCUUUCCCUCCUCACCUGUCCAGAUGUAGGGCAAAACACUGAACUUUUUUGUAACCAGCUCUUCCCCUUGUGUUCUGGAAGCAGGUUAACAGCAUAAGCUCUCACCCUUCUAAGUAAGAUGGACUGACGCCUUCAAAACUGUUAUCCGGACCUGCUCUCCCCUAGCCGUGUUCCUCGAGAUGGUCGGUUACUCAUUAACUGAGCAGUGACGCUGGUUUCCUUUCUUGUUUUGGCACCUAAAAAAUGUCUCUCUUGACAAAAUUACCAAAAUUCAUCAGAGAGGGAUUCCCCCCCCCCCCCGCCCCUGCUUAAAGGUAAAUACCUUCUUACCUGCUGUCACUUCCACCCAGUUCUUUUCCUGGGGUCCUUUGCACAAAUACCCGGCAUUGACAACACUUACAAGUUACCACUGAACAAAAGCUAAAUUCUUUAGUCUUGCUCACACUGAUAGAUGGUCAGAUGGUCCUGCAAUUAAAUAUCCAGACCCAUGAACUUACUGUAUUUUUUAAAAAUUUUUUUCAGCGUUUAUUUUUGAGAGAGAGAGAGAAUGCAAGCCAGGGAGGGGCAGAGAGAGAGAGAGAGAGAGAGACACGGAAUCCGAAGCAGGCUUCAGGCUCUGAGCUGUCAGCCCAGAGCCUGAGGAGGGGCUCGAACUCCUACGCCAUGAGAUCAUCACCUGAGCCGAAGUCGGACGUUUAACGGACUGAGCCACCCAGGUGCCCCCACGAACCUAGUAUAUUAAGGCUUGAAAAGAAAAUUCAAAUAAUAGGUAGCUUUUCUCUGGGAAGGACACACGUUUCCCCCCACCCCCACCCCAGCCCCAGAAUGUGGGAUCCACCUGAUUUAGGAACCCCCGUCUGGCAAGUGCAGAGAACAGAAACGACCUUGCUAGGAAUCUGGUGUUUGUUAUCUCCCUUCUCUGGGUGAGGGGACAGGAGUGUCUACGGAGGAUGGGCCGGGCCUAGACGGCGCACCUGGGGCUGCCGAGACGUGGGCGCUGCCCCUCCGGCCACUCCAGCACCCCCGUCCAGUCCGCGCGCAGCCUCGGGCGUCCCACGUAGGCCAGUGGGAACACAAGAAUAAAAACUCGGAACCUUCGAGUGUGCGGCCUAAGAACUGCUGAUAGGGAAGCGAUCACUGAUUGAGAAAUGAAGCGUUUAAAAUGGAAAUAACGCCAGGGCUCUGAAGUAGGGCCCGGUUUAAGUGCAGUAAUUACAAUAGUUGCUAGGCGGCUCCCACUUACCGCCGCCACAGCAGGCCGCCUUUAUCUUUAUGGCGGGGCUUUGAUUCCAAUCAGAGCUUUCGAAUGAGCGGAUUCUGGUGUUUUCAGUCAAGUUGCAGAGUAGGAAACAGAUGCAGCCCUAUAGUAAUUAGAACCGUUUCUCAUCCCGGGAAAGGGAAUGAGAAUGAGAAAGAGAGAUGUGCACGCCGUGGGGGGGGGACGUGCCAGCCAGGUGACCCGAGUGGUGGCAUCAUCCCGCUGUAUCCUUUCACCCGUGUCUCCUGGCCGGUGUCUGGGCCACAGCACCCCGAGGAGGCCGCAGUUUACGUGUGACGGUGUCAACCUGGGAAAAUUCGGAGCCGCCUCCUUCUGAGAGCCCAGUUUGUUUUCUUGUGGAAGGGGUUCCCUCGGCUAAAAGUCUGGGGAAGGUUGAGGGGCGGUUCGAGUAGCCGUGGUCUUGGGUUAGUGCUGGUGGUGGUGGAGGACGGACCGGCGAUGCACGGUGACCCCGCGCAAAUCUGCCCGGUCCCAGCUGUCUUCGCCCACCGCCGGGCACAGAGCUGUUACCUGGAGGGUCACCCUCCGUGGGAGGAGACCUGCAUUGAUAUCACCCUCAUCUGGCGUCCUGACGGCUGAAAUUGACGGUCAUGAAAGCAUUUUAAGCCAACAAAGACACAGUUCUGUUGAGAGAAGGUUGAAGACUGUUCUCUGCAAAUCGUGGAUGUACUCACAUUCUUUCCAUCAGAACAAGAAAACCAACGGCUUCAGGAUCGAUCUUGUCGCAGGACAGGACGGGUCACCACAGAAAGCUCAGCAAAAUGGUACUUCCUCGGCCGUCACCACCUGGGUUUUCCGUCCUCCGAGAGGUUCCCGACGCCUUCGCUUCCUCACCCUCCUCCCGGAGACCAGGGUUCAGAGCCGGUCUACUCUGCUCGCUGUCCGACCCCCUGGCUGCCCUGUGCUGGUCCAGGUUUUCCCUGGGGACCUCAGAGGAUGGAAGAGCCAUGCCUUUGGCCGAAAUUGUACACCUGUGUGAUCAAUCCAAAAUUCAAUCUCCUGGAAGUAUUCCAAGGACAGAGAAAUGUUGGAAACAAAUUUUAGGAAUUCGGGGCAUUUUUUUUUCCUAACGUGGCACUGUCCUGUGCCAUAUAGACGUACAACCUAAUUUAAAGAGUGCCCGUUGAUUCCUUUUGAACUUUUAAAUUUCCUGGUGCCUCAGGUUACUGUAUGUGUCUGCUAAGUCUAGUCCUUAAGUGGUCCUUCUGUGGUAAUCCUUCGGUGCCUUGGAAAAGUAUGGACGAGGGGCGCCUGGGUGGCUCAGUGGGUCAUGAUCUCAAGGUUCCUGGGUUCCAGCCCUGCGUUGGACUCUGUGCUGACAGCACAGAGCCUGGAGCCUGUUUCAGACUCUUGGUCUCCCUUUCUCUCUGCCCCUCCCCUGCUCUCUCGAGCUCUCUC
Long non-coding RNA from Acinonyx jubatus (cheetah), 12397 nucleotides. RefSeq lists it as uncharacterized. The record is from RefSeq and is a predicted model, not a curated record. The transcript is spliced from 2 exons. Lineage: Eukaryota; Metazoa; Chordata; Mammalia; Carnivora; Felidae.